This 72-nucleotide transfer RNA is filed under the name Bos taurus (domestic cattle). It matches the Rfam family "tRNA". From Rfam's summary of the family: Transfer RNA (tRNA) molecules are approximately 80 nucleotides in length. Lineage: Eukaryota; Metazoa; Chordata; Mammalia; Artiodactyla; Bovidae. RNAcentral also lists the same sequence under 2 other names. The record is from Rfam by way of RNAcentral.
UCCCUUAUACCUCACUCGGUAAAGAAUCUGCCUGCAAUGCAGGAGACCCAGGUUUGAUUCCUGGGUCGGGAA